AUUGAACGCUGGCGGAAUGCUAUACACAUGCAAGUCGAACGGCAGCACGGACUUCGGUCUGGUGGCGAGUGGCGAACGGGUGAGUAAUACAUCGGAACGUGCCCAGUCGUGGGGGAUAACGUAGCGAAAGCUACGCUAAUACCGCAUACGAUCUAAGGAUGAAAGCGGGGGAUCGCAAGCCCUCGCGCGAUUGGAGAGGCCGAUGGCAGAUUAGGUAGUUGGUAGGGUAAAGGCCUACCAAGCCGACGAUCUGUAGCUGGUCUGAGAGGAUGAUCAGCCACACUGGGACUGAGACACGGCCCAGACUCCUACGGGAGGCAGCAGUGGGGAAUUUUGGACAAUGGGCGCAAGCCUGAUCCAGCCAUUCCGCGUGCAGGAUGAAGGCCUUCGGGUUGUAAACUGCUUUUGUACAGAACGAAAAGGCUCUGGUUAAUACCCGGGGCUCAUGACGGUACUGUAAGAAUAAGCACCGGCUAACUACGUGCCAGCCGCCGCCGUAA
Molecule: ribosomal RNA, 500 nt
Filed under: uncultured bacterium
Lineage: Bacteria
Description: partial 16S ribosomal RNA
Rfam family: Bacterial small subunit ribosomal RNA
Source: RNAcentral